GUGGCGAACGGGUGAGUAACACGUGAGCAACCUGCCCCUGACUCUGGGAUAAGCGCUGGAAACGGCGUCUAAUACUGGAUAUGUGACGUGACCGCAUGGUCUGCGUCUGGAAAGAAUUUCGGUUGGGGAUGGGCUCGCGGCCUAUCAGCUUGUUGGUGAGGUAAUGGCUCACCAAGGCGUCGACGGGUAGCCGGCCUGAGAGGGUGACCGGCCACACUGGGACUGAGACACGGCCCAGACUCCUACGGGAGGCAGCAGUGGGGAAUAUUGCACAAUGGGCGCAAGCCUGAUGCAGCAACGCCGCGUGAGGGACGACGGCCUUCGGGUUGUAAACCUCUUUUAGCAGGGAAGAAGCGAAAGUGACGGUACCUGCAGAAAAAGCGCCGGCUAACUACGUGCCAGCAGCCGCGGUAAUACGUAGGGCGCAAGCGUUAUCCGGAAUUAUUGGGCGUAAAGAGCUCGUAGGCGGUUUGUCGCGUCUGCUGUGAAAUCCGGAGGCUCAACCUCCGGCCUGCAGUGGGUACGGGCAGACUAGAGUGCGGUAGGGGAGAUUGGAAUUCCUGGUGUAGCGGUGGAAUGCGCAGAUAUCAGGAGGAACACCGAUGGCGAAGGCAGAUCUCUGGGCCGUAACUGACGCUGAGGAGCGAAAGGGUGGGGAGCAAACAGGCUUAGAUACCCUGGUAGUCCACCCCGUAAACGUUGGGAACUAGUUGUGGGG
RNAcentral lists this ribosomal RNA (718 nucleotides) under Microbacterium sp. RNAcentral describes it as "bacterial SSU rRNA". It matches the Rfam family "Bacterial small subunit ribosomal RNA", at positions 95 to 827 of the family's 1533-position model. The record is from RNAcentral. Lineage: Bacteria; Bacillati; Actinomycetota; Actinomycetes; Micrococcales; Microbacteriaceae.